Molecule: ribosomal RNA, 467 nt
Filed under: uncultured bacterium
Lineage: Bacteria
Description: partial 16S ribosomal RNA
Rfam family: Bacterial small subunit ribosomal RNA
Source: RNAcentral
GAUGAACGCUGGCGGCGUGCUUAACACAUGCAAGUCGAACGAUGAUGCCCAGCUUGCUGGGUGGAUUAGUGGCGAACGGGUGAGUAACACGUGAGUAACCCGCCCUUGACUCUGGGAUAAGCCUGGGAAACUGGGUCUAAUAUCGGAUACGACCAUCUGGCGCAUGUCAUGGUGGUGGAAAGCUUUUGUGGUUUUGGAUGGACUCGCGGCCUAUCAGCUUGUUGGUGGGGUAAUGGCCUACCAAGGCGACGACGGGUAGCCGGCCUGAGAGGGGGACCGGCCACACUGGGACUGAGACACGGCCCAGACUCCUACGGGAGGCAGCAGUGGGGAAUAUUGCACAAUGGGCGCAAGCCUGAUGCAGCGACGCCGCGUGAGGGAUGACGGCCUUCGGGUUGUAAACCGCUUUCAGUAGGGAAGAAGCGAAAGUGACGGUAACGGCAGAAGAAGCACCGGCUAACUACGUG